Molecule: long non-coding RNA, 635 nt
Organism: Carassius carassius (crucian carp)
Lineage: Eukaryota; Metazoa; Chordata; Actinopteri; Cypriniformes; Cyprinidae
Exons: 2
Source: RefSeq, a predicted model, not a curated record
UCUAACAGUUGUCAUCAAUGUGGAAAGAGUUUCAAAUUUAAAGCAAACCUUAAUGAGCACUUGAAAAUUCACACUGGAGAGAAGCCUUUCACAUGUCAACAGUGUGGAAAGAGUUUCACUAAAAAAGGAAACCUUAAAGAGCACACCAAGAUUCACACUGGAGAGAAGCUUUUCACAUGCCAGCAGUGUGGAAAGAGUUUUGUUAAAAAAGGAAAUCUUAAAGAUCACAUGUACAUUCACACUGUAGUAAAGCCAUUUACAUGUGACAAGUGUGGAAUGGGUUUCAAAUUUAAAGAAAGCCUUAAUAACCACUUGCGAAAAAUACAUUCAAGAGAGAAUUGUUUUAUGUGUAAUCAGUGUGGAGAGAGUUUCAUUAGUAAAGUAAGCCUCUACAGUCAUAUAAAACUUCACACUAAAGAGAAGCGGUUUAUCUGCCCACUGUGUGGGGAUACUUUCUUACAAAAUGGAAAUCUAAAGUCACACUUGAGAGUUCACUCUCAAGAGAAGACUUUCCCAUCAGUGUGGAAAUCAUUUCAGACGGAAAACAACCAUUGAGUCGCACAUGAAAAGACCGAUCUGAUGGUAAUAAAAGAGAAUAAAUAGCUGGAAGAAACGGAAGAGAAAGAUCAAUAUAA